CACAGUGAAUGUUUCUGUAUCACCAGAGCUUUUGUGAUUUGCUUUGGUUUUUUCACUUUUGGCAUUUAUUUUGGUAAACGAAAAUCCAAAAGUAGCCAGAAAGAAAUGAAUUCCUAAUAUCUGGGAGUCAAUAUAAAAUACAGUAAGUUCUAUCAGAAUAAAAACUUGACUAUGUAAUAACAUCAGAGGCGGUUUCAUUUGUUUAAUCUUUAUGGUAUACAUUGUUUCCAUAGUGGUCAUUAAGAGUCUUCUUUCUUUUAUGUCUUAUAAUCCAUUCUUGAUCAUCUCUGUGAGAAAGCAUUUAAAAGUUCACAUAAAUACUGUUGGCAAUAUAAAAAACUAUUUUGAUACAGUAUUUACCUUCCUGGUUUAGCAGUUGUGUUUAAUGGAAAGUGAGGAUUUUCUAUGUUUAGAAUACAUUGCUUUGAAAUGAUUUAAGUUGUAGGAUUUGAUCCUCAAAAUGUUUCAAGUUCAAGGAGGUUUUAUAUCCUACAGAUGGAGAAUAUCAUUGCUAUAUUACUGCAAUUGAGAAAUUAAGGUAUAAUUAAGGUAAUUGGAAAUUGGAAGUUUUUUUAUCCUGCUAUAAGUAAAAGUAUUAUGAUUUGCUUCUUUCUAGUUGUGGAAAGUUGGACAAGCAACUUAAUCAUCCUGAACUUUAGUUUAUCAUCUUUAAAAUAAAAGAUUAGGUUAAAAAAAACUUGAAGAAAUCUUUUAGGGUUAAGAUUUUGUGAUUUGGUGAUUGCUCCUAUAAUUAAGGAACAUCUUCUCUUGUGAAGUUCAUCUUUCAAUUGUUGAACAGUAGAGCUACAGACAUAGAAAACUUUCUGUGUGUUCAUAACAAUUAUUUUGCGUAACUGCUUAGCUCAGGAAUAUUAGUUCAGGAAGUAGGAUUUACAUUUCUGUGAAGUAUACUUUUGGCCAAGUAUGUUGUAUGAAAAUGUCAGGCUUCCUGAGAUGUUUGCAGCAAAAGUUUAUCUGCUGGAAUAUCGGGGGGCGGGGGGGUGUCUGUGUAGAGUGCAGUGUUGCUUCCCAACAAACACUUUACCUAGAGAUAUCGGAAGUGAAUAUAUUCAAUAUGUCUUAAGGGCCACCCUAAGUUGGGCUCAGAUGUUUAGCCAUAGAAUUCGGAAUGAAGCAGACCCCAGUUUGAAUCCCAGCCCAGGAAACUUCUCUUGAUAACCUUGGACAGGUUACUUGAUUUCCUGGAUAUCAGUUUCUCAUUUUUUAAGUAGGGGGUCCUAACACUUAUCCCAUAGGGUUGUUGUAGGGAAUAUAUUUUUAAAAAUCAUAAAGGUAAGAAAAAAACUUAACAGGGGGGAGGCAUCUAUAAAUAUGUUUAACUAUAUUAAAAACUACCCCUGUUGCCUUUCAUUAUGAAUCAGUGAGUGACCUUUCCAUACUUCCAACUUUCUUUGUUGACUGCCUUGCAAAUUUCAAGCCAUAUUAACCAGAAGUAGUCACUGAAAUAUUCAGAGUAAGUUUGGAGAGAAGUUUUCGCAUGUUUAGAUUUUUUUGUUCUCUAAAAAUAUGUUCUAUUCAAGUCUUCAUUCAGUUAAGUGUGGAUGAAUUCACUCCAACAAACAUUUAUGAAGUCUUGCUGUGUGUAAGUGUGUUGCCAAAGGUCAUUGCUUCUUCUUGGAAUGUGUGACCUUUCCUUUUCCUUACAGACAUUUCUGUAAAUUGAGAUAAGAGCAAGUUUCUAGAAUUAAUUUAUACAAAUUCUCUAUUUUCAAUGGUGGCAAUGAGGAGUAGACUUAGACAUGGUUUAAAAAAUUUUGUUCAUUCGCUUUUCAGUUAUGAUAUAAAGUGAUGGUUCAGUGAUUUCUUGAUGAGGAAAUCAAGAGCUACAGCACAUUUUCUGAUAUUAGUUUUUUAUAUAUUAUCCCAGUAUAAACAACACUUGGAAGAAUAGCAUAUCAUUGUGAAAUGAAGUUUAAAGUCUCGGAUUUUCAUUUUCUAGAUCUAUAAUUUAGCAAAAUACAUUGCCAUCUCUGAGUGAUCAUUUAGUUUGAGGAAGAUUAUAUUCAUUUACCCGUAGGAAGUUUCUGAUGGGAAUGUUAAAGUACUGCUCCUUCUCAUUUGUAAUUUACCAGCAGAUAGUUGCCUAGAAAUGAUAAUAAUUAAAAAGAAAAUAUGGGAUAAAUCAAUAUUAAAAUGGGAGAAAUUUUUUCUAGCUGUAUGGAAAACUUUGUGGGACAACAUUUAUUUUAAUCAGCAGAUUAUAUAUCUUUAGUAUAGCAACUACUAAUGUAACAAUUUAUAAUUACAGAGUUUAAAAUGAUAGAUUCCUUGAUGUUUUUCUAUAUGAUGUUAAUUCUUAGGUUAUAACCAAAUAUACUUAAUAACUUUACUAAAAGUAUCAGAUUUUAUAGUCUCAGUUAUUUAAAACUGUUUGUUUGACAUGGAUUAAUUUGAAUUAUUGAAACCAGAACAAUCUGCAAAAGUAUUCAUAAGAAAUUUACAUAAGAAGAAAAUCUAAAUAUUCAGCUACACCUUCUAAAAUGAUAAAUACAACACAUACCAAUAAGCAUCUUAUAAAGCAUUUGUUUAACUUUGAUCUUUAAAAUCUAGGAGGUGAUCAUUGAAUAUUUUGCUACAUUUUGACUGCCAUUUCUACUUAUUUAUUUAAGUUUCUUUAAGAGCAUUAGGUGUUUAUAACUUUACUUUGGUUUCUUCUUUAUGGCCUCAAAUUUACUGAUUUUAAAGUGUCAGUCAUUUCUAAGAACUUCAGUGAAUUUCUGCCCGUUACUGUUGAAGACACAGGUGUUUAGAGGUAUAUUUAUUAUGAAUCUAGGAGCUUAUUUUGUUCAUUCGUUCUCUCCUCAUUCACUUUUUUUUUUAAGUCAGGUGCCUUCUAUGUGUCAGAUAUUGCUCUAAGCAUUGUGGAUACAAAAGAAAUAAAAGUCCUUGUGCUCUUGGAGCUAUUCUAGUGACAGUAAAAUAUACAUUUAAAGGGGGCAACUACUACUGAGGAAAAUAAACCAGGAAAGGGAGAUGGGGAGUAGGAGGAAUGGGGGUUGCAGUUUUCUGUGAGAUGGCCAAGGAUAACCUCGUGGAGAAGGUGACAUUUGAGCAAUGAUAUGAAGGAAGUGAAAGAAUGCGCUUUUGACAAAAGAUGGGCAAAAGCUGAAAUAGGAAGGCCAUUUAGGAAGCUAUUUCAGGUAUCACGUGCGGGAUGAUGGCAGCUUGGAUAAGGGUAAAAGUAGCAUGGAGGUAGCGAGAAGGGAACUGAAAUCUGAAGAUAGUUUGAGAAAGAGAGCAAUUGCCUUGGGUUUUUUUUUUUUUUUUGACCUGGGCACCUAGAUGGACCCAGCUGGCAACUGCAGCUCUGAUUGGACACCGGGAACUUCCAUAUGGGGAGGGUGCAGCCCUAAAAACAAAACAAAACAAAACAAAAACCCACAAAAAACAAACAAAAAACCAUCUAGGCAGUUUGAUACAUAAGUCUGGUUUUCAGGGAAGACAUCUACAAAUACAGAUUCAUGAGUUGGAAGAAAUCAAAUACUGUUGGAAACCAUGAGACUGGAUGAGAUCACUAAGGGAGUGAGUAUAGAAAGGAAAGAAGUCCAGAUCCUGAGCCUUGGGGCCCUUUGGAUUCAGAAGUGGGGAAGGUGAGAAGGGGCAAGUAAAGAUUAGUGAAAAGGGUCUGCCCCUGAGAUGAAAGCCCAGCGAGGAGAGUAUUUCCAGGAGGAAGGCAAGACCAUCUGGGCUAAAUGCUGCUGAUAGAUUGAGCAAGAUGACAAUUGAGAAUAGAAUUGGGCUUAGGCAUUUGGGAGGUCUGUGCUCAUUGGCAGUCUUGGCGAGAGCUGUUCUCAUAAUGGUGAGAGAGCACAUCUUUGUCCUAAUUUGUGUGAUCCAUUACAUAUCUUUCACAGAUCUUACCUAUUUUAAGUAAAAUUGGUCAGUACUUUAUAAAUGACAAAAUACCGUCACAUGCGUUAUCUUCAUUAAGUCUCAUAGUAGCCUAAAAGAGAUGGAAUGACAGUAUCUAUGUUUGUCUAACAGAAGUUGAGACUGAGAAGUAAAGUGAUUUGUUCUAAGUCACCUCAAUAUAAGAUAGGGCUGUUUUUUAACUUCCUGCCCUUUGCUAUUCACAAUAGGGGAGAUGGCAAUAAUAAAACAAAUUCCAAUACAAUGUGAUAGAGGUGAUAAUAGCAUUUAUGCUAUAAUGAUAUUAUGAGCGCAUGUACAAGGUAUGGAAUUAACAUCAGGAUAGGGAAUUAUUGUCUUUUGGGGUCAGAGAAAACUUUCCCAGGUUGGGGUUUAAAAGAUGCAUAGCAUUUUAACAUAUCAUUAAAGGGAAGAACAUUCUAGGCUCAGAAAAUAUGAUGCGCAAAGACGUGGUGGGCUGCAACACGGGAUGAUAAUUGAAAUGUACUGGGGAUGCUGAAGCCACUUGAUUCAUGCUGAACAUGAAAGAGAGUGGAUGAGAAAUCGGUUGGAAUGGUUACAAGUGCUAGUUCAAGCACUAGCGGUUUUAAUAAAACAGCUACUAGGUGCCACCUUAAAUGUAUCUCAUGUCACACAAGAUAGUAACAUGCAGCCGAGUUAGAAAUGCCUGAUUAGGUUGUGAUGAUGGUUGUACAACUAUAAAUGUAAUACAGUUCAUUGAGUUCAAGAAAGAAAUGCCUGAACAGAUAUAUUUCAGGACAAAUGCAUUGUCCUAGUCAUUUUAGAUUGCUGUAACCAAGUACCAUAGUCUGGGUGGCACAGACACAAUAGAAAUUUAUUUUUGGCAGUUCUAGAGCCUGAGCAGACCAAGAUCAAGCUGCCGUGUCUGGAGAGGGCUGGCUUUCUGGUUCAUUGAUACUGUCUUCUGCUAUGUCCUCACGUGGUGAAAUAGGCAAGGGAGCUCUCUGGCAGCUCUUUUAUAAGGUAUGAAUCCCAUUCACGAGGGCUGCAUUCUCGUGACCUAAUCACAAGCUAAAGGCACCACUUCCCAAUACCAUAAUUUUGAUGUUUUAAGUUUCAACAUAUGGAUUUGGGAGAGAUACAAACAUUCAGUCUAUAGCAUGUGGAUUUUCAAAGUUCUAUUCUUCCUUCCAAAUUAAAUGUUUAUGCAGAUCAUCUGCAACUGAAGAAGCCCUAGUGAUUGUAUUUCUGGUCUGUAUCAAUCAGGAUGCUUUUGGCUUCAAGUAAGAAACACUUAACUAGAAGUGCCUUGAAAAGUAGGAUUUAUUUACUUAUUUUAUUUUUUAGUUUCAUCUUAAAUGAAUUUGGAUUAGGGCUACUUCAAGACGGUCUAAUUAAAAAAAAAAAAAAAGAAGAAGAAGGAGUUCCCGUCAUGGCCCAGUGGUUAAUGAAUACGACUAGGAACCAUGAGGUUGUGGGUUCGAUCUCUGCCCUUGCUCAGUGGGUUAAGGAUCUGGUGUUGCCAUGAGCUGUGGUGACCCUUAGCCUGGGAACCUCCAUAUGCCACAGGAAUCGGCCCUAGAAAA
This 5438-nucleotide long non-coding RNA is filed under the name Sus scrofa (pig). RNAcentral's name for it is "lncRNA (ENSSSCG00050029650.1)". The record is from RNAcentral. Lineage: Eukaryota; Metazoa; Chordata; Mammalia; Artiodactyla; Suidae.